This 253-nucleotide ribosomal RNA is filed under the name uncultured bacterium. RNAcentral's name for it is "partial 16S ribosomal RNA". It matches the Rfam family "Bacterial small subunit ribosomal RNA", at positions 524 to 776 of the family's 1533-position model. The record is from RNAcentral.
UACGAAGGGGGCUAGCGUUGCUCGGAAUCACUGGGCGUAAAGCGCACGUAGGCGGACUCUUAAGUCAGGGGUGAAAUCCUGGAGCUCAACUCCAGAACUGCCUUUGAUACUGGGAGUAUUGAGUUCGGGAGAGGUGAGUGGAACUGCGAGUGUAGAGGUGAAAUUCGUAGAUAUUCGCAAGAACACCAGUGGCGAAGGCGGCUCACUGGCCCGAUACUGACGCUGAGGUGCGAAAGCGUGGGGAGCAAACAGG